AGAAACACUAGUUCUCAUAUGAUCACCGAAGUUAAUUAAUGUCAGGCCCGGUCAUUACUUAGAUGGGUGACUGCUUGAGAAUACCAGUUGCUGUAA
Non-coding RNA from Acanthosepion pharaonis, 96 nucleotides. The record is from the annotation of a GenBank genome assembly. NCBI's taxonomy places the organism in Eukaryota, Metazoa, Mollusca, Cephalopoda, Sepiida, Sepiidae.